UCCACGCCCUAAACGAUGAGAACUAGAUGUUGGGGGAUAAAUUCCUUUAGUGUCGUAGCUAACGCGUUAAGUUCUCCGCCUGGGGAGUACGACCGCAAGGUUAAAACUCAAAUGAAUUGACGGGGGCCCGCACAAGCGGUGGAGCAUGUGGUUUAAUUCGAUGCAACGCGAAGAACCUUACCUACCCUUGACAUCCUCAGAACUUGUUAGAGAUAACUUGGUGCCUUCAGGAA
This 233-nucleotide ribosomal RNA is filed under the name uncultured bacterium. RNAcentral describes it as "partial 16S ribosomal RNA". It matches the Rfam family "Bacterial small subunit ribosomal RNA", at positions 794 to 1026 of the family's 1533-position model. The record is from RNAcentral.